This 75-nucleotide microRNA precursor is filed under the name Stegodyphus mimosarum. RNAcentral's name for it is "microRNA mir-137". The record is from RNAcentral. Lineage: Eukaryota; Metazoa; Arthropoda; Arachnida; Araneae; Eresidae.
UUUUUUACGAGGAAUUGGGCUACGGGUACCCGUACAGUUCUGCGGGUACCCGUAGGCCAAUUCCUCGUAAAAAAA